RNAcentral lists this ribosomal RNA (955 nucleotides) under Enterobacter hormaechei subsp. xiangfangensis. Its description in RNAcentral is "partial 16S ribosomal RNA". It matches the Rfam family "Bacterial small subunit ribosomal RNA", at positions 41 to 976 of the family's 1533-position model. Lineage: Bacteria; Pseudomonadati; Pseudomonadota; Gammaproteobacteria; Enterobacterales; Enterobacteriaceae. The record is from RNAcentral.
GGGCGAAAAUAAGGGUGCAAUGUAGUCGCACCGUAACAGCCAAGAGCUUGUCUUAGUUACGAGUGGCGGACGGGUGAGUCAGGCUGGCAAUUGUCUCCUCGCUGUGGAUACUACUGUAAUCGUGGCAAAUACCGCAUACCGUCGCAAGACCAAGAUGGCGACCUUCGGGCCUCUUGCCCUCCGGUUUGCCAUGUUGGUUUUAGCUUGCAGGUGGGAUGCGGCUCACCCAGGUGACGAAUCGUGGAUGGCCUGAAGAGAGUAUCAGCCACUCUCGAACUGAGGCCGAGUCCAGGGUUAAACGGGAGGGAGCAGUGGUGAAUAUUGUCGAAUGGCAUCUACCGUAAGCACGCCAUCCGGGGCAAUGAAAAAAAUCUAACCGGUUUUUAAGGUACUUUUCGGCGGGGGGGGAGGGGAACAGGGUUAAUAAACCCUUGUCGAUUGAAGGUUACCCCCGGAAAAAAGCCCCGUUUAACCUUCCGUCCCAAGCGGCGGGGAAAAUUCCGAAAGGGGUGCAACCGUUAAAUCGGAAUUUACUGGGCUAAAAGGCCCACCCAGGGGGGUCUGUCAAGCCGAAUGUAAAACCCCCGGGGUCCAACCGGGGAAACUGCAUUCGAAACUGGAAGGCUAGGAGCUUUUGUGGGAGGGGGGGUAGAAUCCCGGGUGUAGCGUGUAAAUUGCGUGAGAGUCUCUGGGAGAGAAUACCCGGGGGCGAAAGGGGCCCCCCUUGGACAAAGACUGGACGUCUCAGGUGCAAAACGGUUGUGGAGCCAACGGGAUUAGAUACCCUGGUAGUCCACGCCGUAAAACGAUUGUCGACUUAGAAGGUUGUGCCAUGAAGCGUGCUCCGGAGCUUACCGCGUUAGUCGACCGCUGGGAGUACGGCGCAAGUCAAACUCAAUGACUGACGGGACAGCCAUGCGUGCACAUUGGAUAAUCGAUCACGUGAGAUCUACUA